GGUGACAGCCCCGUACACAAAAAUGCACAUGCUGUGAGCUCGAUGAGUAGGGCGGGACACGUGGUAUCCUGUCUGAAUAUGGGGGGACCAUCCUCCAAGGCUAAAUACUCCUGACUGACCGAUAGUGAACCAGUACCGUGAGGGAAAGGCGAAAAGAACCCCGGCGAGGGGAGUGAAAAAGAACCUGAAACCGUGUACGUACAAGCAGUGGGAGCACGCUUAGGCGUGUGACUGCGUACCUUUUGUAUAAUGGGUCAGCGACUUAUAUUCUGUAGCAAGGUUAACCGAAUAGGGGAGCCGAAGGGAAACCGAGUCUUAACUGGGCGUUAAGUUGCAGGGUAUAGACCCGAAACCCGGUGAUCUAGCCAUGGGCAGGUUGAAGGUUGGGUAACACUAACUGGAGGACCGAACCGACUAAUGUUGAAAAAUUAGCGGAUGACUUGUGGCUGGGGGUGAAAGGCCAAUCAAACCGGGAGAUAGCUGGUUCUCCCCGAAAGCUAUUUAGGUAGCGCCUCGUGAAUUCAUCUCCGGGGGUAGAGCACUGUUUCGGCAAGGGGGUCAUCCCGACUUACCAACCCGAUGCAAACUGCGAAUACCGGAGAAUGUUAUCACGGGAGACACACGGCGGGUGCUAACGUCCGUCGUGAAGAGGGAAACAACCCAGACCGCCAGCUAAGGUCCCAAAGUCAUGGUUAAGUGGGAAACGAUGUGGGAAGGCCCAGACAGCCAGGAUGUUGGCUUAGAAGCAGCCAUCAUUUAAAGAAAGCGUAAUAGCUCACUGGUCGAGUCGGCCUGCGCGGAAGAUGUAACGGGGCUAAACCAUGCACCGAAGCUGCGGCAGCGACGCUUAUGCGUUGUUGGGUAGGGGAGCGUUCUGUAAGCCUGUGAAGGUGUGCUGUGAGGCAUGCUGGAGGUAUCAGAAGUGCGAAUGCUGACAUAAGUAACGAUAAAGCGGGUGAAAAGCCCGCUCGCCGGAAGACCAAGGGUUCCUGUCCAACGUUAAUCGGGGCAGGGUGAGUCGACCCCUAAGGCGAGGCCGAAAGGCGUAGUCGAUGGGAAACAGGUUAAUAUUCCUGUACUUGGUGUUACUGCGAAGGGGGGACGGAGAAGGCUAUGUUGGCCGGGCGACGGUUGUCCCGGUUUAAGCGUGUAGGCUGGUUUUCCAGGCAAAUCCGGAAAAUCAAGGCUGAGGCGUGAUGACGAGGCACUACGGUGCUGAAGCAACAAAUGCCCUGCUUCCAGGAAAAGCCUCUAAGCAUCAGGUAACAUCAAAUCGUACCCCAAACCGACACAGGUGGUCAGGUAGAGAAUACCAAGGCGCUUGAGAGAACUCGGGUGAAGGAACUAGGCAAAAUGGUGCCGUAACUUCGGGAGAAGGCACGCUGAUAUGUAGGUGAAGUCCCUCGCGGAUGGAGCUGAAAUCAGUCGAAGAUACCAGCUGGCUGCAACUGUUUAUUAAAAACACAGCACUGUGCAAACACGAAAGUGGACGUAUACGGUGUGACGCCUGCCCGGUGC
RNAcentral lists this ribosomal RNA (1518 nucleotides) under Escherichia coli O157:H7. RNAcentral describes it as "partial 23S ribosomal RNA". It matches the Rfam family "Bacterial large subunit ribosomal RNA", at positions 363 to 1869 of the family's 2925-position model. Lineage: Bacteria; Pseudomonadati; Pseudomonadota; Gammaproteobacteria; Enterobacterales; Enterobacteriaceae. The record is from RNAcentral.